CUUACCACUUUGUGAUUCAUGACUGGGGUGAAGUCGUAACAAGGUAACCGUAGGGGAACCUGCGGUUGGAUCACCUCCUUACCUGAAAAUAC
RNAcentral lists this ribosomal RNA (92 nucleotides) under Edwardsiella anguillarum. Its description in RNAcentral is "partial 16S ribosomal RNA". The stretch from base 1 to 81 matches the Rfam family "Bacterial small subunit ribosomal RNA", at positions 1453 to 1533 of the family's 1533-position model. Lineage: Bacteria; Pseudomonadati; Pseudomonadota; Gammaproteobacteria; Enterobacterales; Hafniaceae. The record is from RNAcentral.